RNAcentral lists this ribosomal RNA (1303 nucleotides) under metagenome. RNAcentral's name for it is "bacterial LSU rRNA". It matches the Rfam family "Bacterial large subunit ribosomal RNA", at positions 1634 to 2925 of the family's 2925-position model. The record is from RNAcentral.
UACACGGCCCGUACCCCAAACCGACACAGGUGAUCAGGUAGAGAAUACCAAGGCGAUCGAGAGAACUGUGGUUAAGGAACUCGGCAAAAUGCCCCCGUAACUUCGGGAGAAGGGGGACCAUGCCCGGUGAACAUCUUCACGGUGGGAGCUGGGUGUGGUCGCAGAGACCAGAGAGAAGCGACUGUUUACUAAAAACACAGGUCCGUGCGAAGACGUAAGUCGAUGUAUACGGACUGACGCCUGCCCGGUGCUGGAAGGUUAAGAGGACCGGUUAGCCGUAAGGCGAAGCUGAGAAUUUAAGCGCCAGUAAACGGCGGUGGUAACUAUAACCAUCCUAAGGUAGCGAAAUUCCUUGUCGGGUAAGUUCCGACCUGCACGAAUGGCGUAACGACUUCUCUGCUGUCUCGACCACAGACUCGGCGAAAUUGCACUACGAGUAAAGAUGCUCGUUACGCGCGGCAGGACGAAAAGACCCCGGGACCUUUACUAUAGCUUGGUAUUGGCGUUCGAUUCGGUUCGUGUAGGAUAGGUGGGAGACUGUGAAGCAUGCACGCCAGUGUGUGUGGAGUCGUUGUUGAAAUACCACUCUGAUCGUAUUGGACGUCUAACCUCGGCCCAUGAUCUGGGUUAGGGACAGUGCCUGGUGGGUAGUUUAACUGGGGCGGUUGCCUCCUAAAGAGUAACGGAGGCGCCCAAAGGUUCCCUCAGCCUGGAUGGCAAUCAGGUGUUGAGUGCAAGUGCACAAGGGAGCUUGACUGUGAGACUGACACGUCGAGCAGGGACGAAAGUCGGGACUAGUGAUCCGGCACCGGCAAGUGGAAGCGGUGUCGCUCAACGGAUAAAAGGUACCCCGGGGAUAACAGGCUGAUCUUCCCCAAGAGUCCAUAUCGACGGGAUGGUUUGGCACCUCGAUGUCGGCUCGUCGCAUCCUGGGGCUGGAGUAGGUCCCAAGGGUUGGGCUGUUCGCCCAUUAAAGCGGCACGCGAGCUGGGUUUAGAACGUCGUGAGACAGUUCGGUCUCUAUCCGCCGCGCGCGUAAGAAACUUGAGGAAGGCUGUCCCUAGUACGAGAGGACCGGGACGGACGAACCUCUGGUGUGCCAGUUGUUCCACCAGGAGCAUGGCUGGUUAGCUACGUUCGGAAGGGAUAACCGCUGAAAGCAUCUAAGCGGGAAGCCUGUUCCAAGAUGAGGUUUCUCACCACCUUGCGUGGUUAAGGCCCCCUACAGACCAUGGGGUUGAUAGGCCGGAACUGGAAGCGCAGCAAUGCGUGGAGGUGACCGGUACUAAUAGGCCGAGGGCCU